This 253-nucleotide ribosomal RNA is filed under the name uncultured bacterium. Its description in RNAcentral is "partial 16S ribosomal RNA". It matches the Rfam family "Bacterial small subunit ribosomal RNA", at positions 524 to 776 of the family's 1533-position model. The record is from RNAcentral.
UACGUAGGGCGCAAGCGUUGUCCGGAAUUAUUGGGCGUAAAGAGCUCGUAGGCGGCUUGUCACGUCGGAUGUGAAAGCCCGAGGCUUAACCUCGGGUCUGCAUUCGAUACGGGCUAGCUAGAGUGUGGUAGGGGAGAUCGGAAUUCCUGGUGUAGCGGUGAAAUGCGCAGAUAUCAGGAGGAACACCGGUGGCGAAGGCGGAUCUCUGGGCCGUUACUGACGCUGAGGAGCGAAAGCGUGGGGAGCGAACAGG